GAUGAACGCUGGCGGCGUGCCUAAUACAUGCAAGUCGAGCGAACAGACGAGGAGCUUGCUCCUCUGACGUUAGCGGCGCACGGGUGAGUAACACAUGGAUAACCUCCCUAUAAUACUGGGAUAACUUCGGGAAACCGGCGCUAAUACCGGAUAAUAUAUUGAACCGCAUGGUUCAAUAGUGAAAGACGGUGUUGCUGUCACUUAUAGCUGGAUCCGCGCUGCAUUAGCUAGUUGGUGAGGUAACGGCUUACCAAGGCGACGAUGCGUAGACGACCUGAGAGGGUGAUCGGCCACACUGGAACUGAGACACGGUCCAGACUCCUACGGGAGGCAGCAGUAGGGAAUCUUCCGCAAUGGGCGAAAGCCUGACGGAGCAACGCCGCGUGAGUGAUGAAGGGCUUCGGAUCGGAAAACUCUGUUAUUAGGGAAGAACAAAUGUGUAAGUAACUAUGCACGUCUUGACGGUACCUAAUCAGAAAGCCACGGCUAACUACGUG
This 497-nucleotide ribosomal RNA is filed under the name uncultured bacterium. RNAcentral describes it as "partial 16S ribosomal RNA". It matches the Rfam family "Bacterial small subunit ribosomal RNA", at positions 28 to 507 of the family's 1533-position model. The record is from RNAcentral.